Mus musculus (house mouse) is the source of this 1182-nucleotide long non-coding RNA. RefSeq annotates it as predicted gene, 53680. NCBI's taxonomy places the organism in Eukaryota, Metazoa, Chordata, Mammalia, Rodentia, Muridae. The transcript has 3 exons. The record is from RefSeq and is a predicted model, not a curated record.
CCUUGUAUUUUGUGUAAGAAAGACUGUGUGGGACAGAAGGGACCUCACGGGACAUAUCAAUGCUCCACAGUGGCUCUCCUUCACUUUCUUGGUGACUCAGAAGGUCACCGUGGGGACCUGAACCAUAGCAUCAUCUCGGGAUGCUCUGAGUCUACAUGUGGGUAGCAGUUAUAAAGCACACCUCCUUUGAAUCUGGUCUCUUCUUCUGCCCCAGCUCCUCUCUCUGUGACCUUCUCCUGUAGCGUGAAGUAGAGCAAUAUGUUGGCUCAGAGCUCAUGAAUGGACAGAAUGUUAGACAAAUCAUCCCCAGAACUUAGGCUUUGUGCCAUCUGGUCUUGUCUCUCCUGGUAGCGAAGUAAAUCUUAAAGAAACAGACCCCUGGGACACCAACCGGGAUCAACCCAAGGAGAGUCCUGGGAGAUAAUCUACAAGCUUUUCUCCAGGCCCCCAAUCUCUCCAGCUUUGCCUGUGUGCUAUGGUACCAUUUAUACAGUGAUGCUAACAGAGAAUAUCCCAUUGUGCUUGAUGCCUUAGCCUCCCAGACUGCUAUGUAAUCAACCCUUUACCUUGAGGCAUUAAAAACCCCUGUUAUGACACACAGAGUAUCUGGAGAUGUAAAUGGUUAAUCUUUUGUUUACUUGUUCAAUAUUUACUGAGCUCCCCGAAUGCAGGAAAGAGCUGGUGGGAGCCUGCUUUCAAAAGCUGAAGCCAGUAUCUGAUGUCAGCAGCACACACACAUCCCCUGCUAAAGAAGGCUUGAGCUGGCGUGUGUCAUUAAGCAUCCUUUGUCUUCCACCUUCCACUCUAUCUGGGGCACCUUGUCUGUUGGACAGUGUCAGCCAUAUGCACUGUGAGUCUUUCUCCUCCGUUGGCCUGUCUACAUUCCAAUGUUUCCUGGAAGCACCCUACACAUAUACUCUGAGGGCUUUUGCAGCUGUUUCCACUGAUUGUCCUGCUUCUGGGCUGCUACUGUUACCACCCCUGUCCUCAGGACAUCUACACCACUGGACAAGGAUGCCACUCACAGAUGGCCGGGACUCAAGCAUUUUGAUACAGCACCAGGAAACAGCUGAAGACCCCAUUCGUUGUCUACCUGCACACAGCUCAGCUAUUCCAGUUCUUUAAGCCUUUCAUUCCUUAUUUUAUACACAAAGGCAGAAGAAGCAUGAUUUGGGGGAGGAA